CCGGCUCGGCGCUGGGGCACCCGGCCGCCUCCCCCCGGGCGGGCCGGGGGCGUGCGGGGAGGCGGCCCCCGGGCGGCGGCUGAGGGAAGGAGGCAGGGAAGGGAGGGAAGGAGGCAGGGAAGGAGGCCGGGAGGGAGGCAGGGAGGCCGGCAGGCAACGGGCUCCGUCUCUGGAGGUUGGCGGCAGGAUGUAUGGAUUUAUAAACACAUGCCUGAAGUCUUUGGUGGUUGAAAAGUAUGGUGAAGAAGUAUGGGAAAAAUUAAGACUCCAGGCCGGAGUUCAGGAUACUUUCUUGACUUUUGAAGUUUACAAAGAUGAGAUCACAAUGCAACUUGUUGACAAAGCCUGCAAAGUAUUAGGUGUUCCUGCUGACAUGGUUCUGAAAGAGUUUGGAGAAUAUUUCUUUGAAUUCUGUAAACGAUCAGGCUAUGAUCACAUGCUGAGAACACUGGGUGGAAAUCUAUAUGAGUUCAUAGAGAACUUGGAUGCAUUACACAGCUACCUGUCCCUCUCUUACCAGGAGAUGAAUGCACCGUCUUUUAGAGUAGAAAAGAAUGAAGAUGGCUCAAUGCAUUUACAUUACUAUUCAGAUAGAAGAGGUCUAUACCAUAUUGUGCCAGGAAUCAUUGGUGCAGCAGCCCUGGAUUUUUUUAACAUUGAGAUUUCAAUGGAAAUAGUCAAUCAAACAGAAGAAGAAGAAAGAACUGGGAAAAAAGAGCAUAUUGUUUUCCUUGUCACUCAAAACCCUGUACUUCCAUACGAAGAAAGAAAGAAAUAUUCUUCCUCACCUCCAUAUCUUGCUGACUCUGAAAAACAAAGUGAGACCCAACUGAAUAAUGAGGACCCUGAAAAAGCCAAGAAUACAAUUAGAGACAGAGGAAACUUGGUUUGUCCUGUCAAGAAAAGUCACUGGAAAACAAUAAGAGGAAUAAUCACAUUAGGAAGAGGUAAACUCCUGAGAGGAUUUGACCCUGUUUAUCCCAAGAGUCUUUGGAUUGACACAAAAACAUUUUGCAAUGGGCUUCCUUUUCAUAUGGUUUUUGACAAAGAGCUCAGAGUGAAGCAAGCUGGGGUGAGCAUUCAAAAGAUUGUACCUGGCCUUCAGACCAUGGGCAUCUGCUUGGAUCAGUAUUUCAGUAUCGUUCACCCAGAAGUACCCUUCACCAUCUCUAGCAUUCAGAAAUUUAUCAACAGCCAAUUUGUUUUCCAGACUAGGAGAGAGAUGAUGCCAGAGUCAUGGAAACAACGGCCAAUGCUAGAGCUUAGAGGCCAGAUGAUCUGGAUGGAGUCCCUGCAGUGCAUGCUCUAUCUCUGCUCACCUUUGCUUCGCACUUUGCACGAGCUAGAGGAACGACAGAUGCAUAUUGCAGACAUUGCACCUCAUGAUGUGACCAGGGAUUUGAUUCUUCUCAAUCAGCAGCGACUGGCAGAGAUGGAGCUUUCUAACCAGCUGGAGAGGAAGAAGGAAGAACUGCGAAUACUGUCAAAGCACCUGGAAGAAGAGAAGAAAAAGACUGAAGCUCUGCUCUAUGCCAUGCUCCCUCAGCACGUGGCCAACCAGCUGAAAGAAGGGAAGCGAGUUGAGGCAGGAGAGUUCAAGGAGUGCACCAUACUGUUCAGUGAUGUUGUGACCUUUACCAACAUUUGUGCCCAAUGUGAGCCUAUUCAGAUAGUUCUCAUGUUAAAUACAAUGUACCUGCAAUUUGACAGACUGACCACAGUGCAUGAUGUGUACAAGGUGGAGACAAUUGGAGAUGCCUAUAUGGUCGUAGGUGGGGUUCCUGUGCCUGUAUCCACUCACGCUGAGCGGGUUGCUAACUUUGCCUUGGGGAUGGUAAUAGCAGCUAAAGGAGUACAGAACCCAGUUUCUGGAAAUCCAAUCCAAAUUAGAGUUGGGAUCCAUACAGGUCCUGUCUUGGCUGGAGUUGUUGGAGAAAAGAUGCCUCGUUACUGCUUAUUUGGAGAUACAGUGAAUAUAGCUUCCCGGAUGGAGAGUCAUGGUGUCCCAAGUAAAAUUCAUCUAAGCUCCAGUACCUAUCAAUGCCUAAAAUACAAGAAUUUUGAGAUGACUGAAAGAGGAGAAAUAGAAGUGAAAGGCAAAGGGAAAAUGCACACAUAUUUCCUUGUUAGAAAUAAAGCUGCAACUGAGAAUGAAAUUAUGGGGAGGCCAGUAAAAGACUUAGAUUCUGGCCAUGCAUCCGUUCAGUCCUUUCAAGAAGGCAGGACUGAAACAACACCAAGUUCUCAUCAGACAGUUAAUCAGACUCAGCAAGAGAAGGACCAGACCACAACCAUUGCAAUGAAGUAUAUUGACGGUCCCACAGAUGCACAAAACAGUCUCAAAAGAAGAAAUCAAGCAAAAAAUGCAGAUUUAACAGCAAUCGAGAAAGAGGUGACUCAUACAACUAGAAAUAUUCCUACUCAAGUGAGCACUUGCAAAAAAAGCAACAUUCCCUGAAAUGACCAUCUGUCUAGACUUCAGCACAACCAAUACCUUCCCUGUGUAAGUCUGGAGCAUCACGUUUCACCCCUGCGUCAGUGGCAAGAGUGAAGCCCUUUAAACACCAGACGGAGAGGUAAGACUGAUGAAAGGAAUUGCCUCCUCUCUACAGUAUUAACAAGAUGAAAUUUCACCUAGCUAGAUUUUCUUUUUAAACCCACGAGACAGGAGCUGUUUUGGCUGGGUGCUCUGUGGGUCUGUCUAUGCUAGCACUCGCAGACCAAUUGAGGUGGAUGUGUAGAGUGAAGCUGUCAGUGCUGACAUCCACACAUCAGGUAUUUCAGAGGGCUUGCUCAUGUGGUCCCACACACUGAAUACCUUUUAGCUUUUGGAGCACCUUAUAAGUGCAUCUUCUGGCUUCGUGUCAUGCAGAAGGGAUCUGUUCAUGCACUUUGAGACCACUCUACAAUUUGAAACAAAGUACAGUUAAGUUAUGACUAGGGAUGUCUCCUGACACUGACUGAAAUGUAAAUACAGAUGCACCCUUUAACAUUAGCACUUUCAACAACAAAACAGGACAGCACCAGUCUGGAAGAGGGCAAUUUUAUGACUGGCAGGAUUUAUUUAUUUAUUUAUUUAGAAGGAUUUUGCUAUCUAGAUAUUGCUCAUUAUUUUGGGGAGGGUUAUAUCAGCUGUAGGGUGAAGAUGCGUCUGAGCAUUAUUUUUGUUAAAUUGGUUUUACCAAUGGUGUGCUUGUGUGCUACCCUCAGACACACAUCUAAAUUUCACCUUAGUAACUCCCCCUGACAUGGAGCACCUUCCAGUGCUCACAGUUUUGCACUUCUGUGUUGUGACCAUAAUUUUAAAGUCUUUUCUAAAGAAAGGUAAUACCCAACUUCUCUCUCACUCACGGUGAAUCUGCCAUAACAGUUAAAUUGGUGCUGUCCCACUGAUUUAACUUGAGAAUUUACUCUGACAAGAUUUUUUUGCCUCCAACCUAGAGAUGCGUUUUACUACUCUUGACUAGUCAUGCUGAUGAAAUGGAGAACAUGUCAUUUAACAAAUGGCAGUGGUGGACUUGGUGUUUAUCUGGACUUGCUAUGGAUAUAUAAAGCCACUUAGCCCCAAGCAUAAGUGUUACACAGGAGGGAACAUCUCUUAGAGGCCGGUGCUAAUGCAGGAGGGAAACUCUUGCAAGAAGGCCAGGGCCCUUCUGAACUUUAAUGAAUUCUUUAUGGGAGGAAGAAAGAAAAGGACCAUGGCUUAAUUGCUGCCUGCAUCUAGCUGCCCAAAUCUAGCUUUGCUUAUACCUGCCCUUUUCGCACUGACCAAUCUAUGAAUAUUUAAUAUUGGAAUGUGUUAAUUGCCAGUAAGUGUGCCAUGGUAAGAUACUUUAUGCUGUACUUCAAUAAAAUUGCUGUGCUCAGUGAUUUCUCUGUGGCCUCUGCUACAUCUGGUCUUCUGCUGCUCUGCUGGAGAUGUGAAGCUGGGUCAAAUCUAAACACCUGCUUUUAAAAAUUAAUGUGCCUGUACAUCAUCCUGUGUUUCUAGAUCUGUAGGUACUGCUAAAGACUGAAAUAAUGCAAAAAUACCAUUCAAAAAUAUUUUUUUCCAUUGAUAUACUGACUGCCAUUUUUCAAUGACUACUUUGAUUCAUUUCCCUCUUUUUCCUUCCACCUUUUUUUGUUCUUUUUUUUUUUUUACAAAUAUACAAAAAAUUAAGAUCAUUACACCUCUAAUAAAUGUAAAGUGAGUUUAAUUUCUUGACCAUGCACAGUUAUGCAUUUUUGUGGCAUCAGAAUCAGCACACUACAGUUAACAUUGUCAUAAGCUAGAACGUGUUAAUAGAGUUUUCAUUGCAGUGACUUACCUACAUUGAAUUGACACAAAAAAGGUGAGAGAACAGAAUUUCCCACUGCCACUUCAUGGAUGCUAAGGCUUAGAGAAUUUAAAAGCUGAGAUUUUUGAAAGCUGUCUAAAAUAUAUGGAUUACCAAAUCCCAUUAAAUCUGGUUUUAAAGCGUGAAGUUUCAAAAGCACUUGGGUGCCUUAAAAGUUUAGGGGCCAGAUUUUCAAAGAUACUUGUUGUUACUUUGGUAAGUGAAAUCAACUGGAUUUAGGUACGUAAUACGUGUCUGGUUUCUGACAAUAAAGCUUUAAUUAAAACAUUUAAAAAGCAUUUCCCUGUCAGUGCUUUCAGAAAUUAGCAAACUUUCCAAACUGUACCCUCAUUUGCUGGGCGUCGUUGAUUAAACACAUCAAAAGGCAACUCUGUAUGGACCCAUGGUGGAAAUAAAAUUCACAAAUAAAAUAGC
Molecule: RNA transcript, 4754 nt
Organism: Cygnus atratus (black swan)
Lineage: Eukaryota; Metazoa; Chordata; Aves; Anseriformes; Anatidae
Gene name: guanylate cyclase soluble subunit beta-2-like
Exons: 17
Source: RefSeq, a predicted model, not a curated record